AUUGAACGCUGGCGGUAUGCUUAACACAUGCAAGUCGAACGAUGAGAAAGAGCUUGCUCUUUCGAUUAGUGGCGGACGGGUGCGUAACGCGUAGGAAUCUACCUAUUAGUGGGGGACAACUUAGGGAAACUUAAGCUAAUACCGCAUACGCCCUACGGGGGAAAGAAGGGGAUCGCAAGACCUUUUGCUAAUAGAUGAGCCUGCGUAGGAUUAGAUAGUUGGUGGGGUAAAAGCUCACCAAGGAGACGAUCCUUAACUGGUUUGAGAGAAUGUGCAGUCACACAUGAGGUGAGACACGGUACCGACUCCUACGGGAGGCCGCAGUGGGGAAUAUGGGACAAUGGGCGAAAGCAUGAGCCAGCAAUACCGGUUGUGUGAAGAAGGCCUUAGGGUUGUAAAGCACUUUCAAUUGGAAGGAAAACCUCGAAGCGAAUACCUUCGAGUUUGACAUUACCUUUAGAAGAAGCACCGGCUAACUCCGUGCCAGCUGCCGCGGUAA
RNAcentral lists this ribosomal RNA (499 nucleotides) under uncultured bacterium. Its description in RNAcentral is "partial 16S ribosomal RNA". It matches the Rfam family "Bacterial small subunit ribosomal RNA", at positions 30 to 523 of the family's 1533-position model. The record is from RNAcentral.